CUCUAGUUAGUCUAGUGGUUGAGGUUCCUGGUUUUCAUCCAGGCUGCCCAGGUUCAAUUCCUGAGCAGAGA
Molecule: transfer RNA, 71 nt
Filed under: Sus scrofa (pig)
Lineage: Eukaryota; Metazoa; Chordata; Mammalia; Artiodactyla; Suidae
Rfam family: tRNA
About the family: Transfer RNA (tRNA) molecules are approximately 80 nucleotides in length.
Source: Rfam by way of RNAcentral